Molecule: ribosomal RNA, 440 nt
Filed under: uncultured bacterium
Lineage: Bacteria
Description: partial 16S ribosomal RNA
Rfam family: Bacterial small subunit ribosomal RNA
Source: RNAcentral
CCUACGGGUGGCAGCAGUGAGGAAUAUUGCACAAUGGGGGGAACCCUGAUGCAGCGACGCCGCGUGGGUGAGGAAGUACUUCGGUAUGUAAAGCCCUAUCAGCAGGGAAGCAAAUGACGGUACCUGACUAAGAAGCCCCGGGUAACUACGUAGCAGCAGCCGCGGUAAUACGUAGGGGGCCAGCGUGAUCCGGAUUUACUGGGUGUAAAGGGGGCGUAGACGGCGUGCCAAGUCUGGUGUGAAAGGCCGGGGCUCAAGCCCGGGACUGCAUUGGAAACUGGCAUGCUUGAGUGGCGGAGGGGCAAGCGGAAUGCCUAGUGUAGCGGUGAAAUGCGUAGAUAUCAGGAGGAACACCGGUGGCGAAGGCGGCUUGCUGGACGGUAACUGACGUUGAGGCUCGAAAGCGUGGGGAGCAAACAGGAUUAGAUACCCGGGUAGUC